This 57-nucleotide transfer RNA is filed under the name Capra hircus (goat). It matches the Rfam family "tRNA", at positions 8 to 63 of the family's 71-position model. From Rfam's summary of the family: Transfer RNA (tRNA) molecules are approximately 80 nucleotides in length. Their secondary structure includes four short double-helical elements and three loops (D, anti-codon, and T loops). RNAcentral also lists the same sequence under 3 other names. The record is from Rfam by way of RNAcentral. Lineage: Eukaryota; Metazoa; Chordata; Mammalia; Artiodactyla; Bovidae.
UGGCUCAGACAGUAGAGAAUCUGCCUGCAAAGCAGGAGAUCCAGGUUUGAUCCCUGG